CUGAGGUGCCACUUUGGACUCUACCUUGACACCCUUAGAAGGCUGUUAACGCCUUUUGGUGACAAAGAUUAAGAAACCCUGCCCCAGGCUGGUUGCUGUUGCUCACACCUGUAAUCCCAGCACUUUGGGAGGCCGAGGCAGGCGAAUCACAAGGAGGGAAGCCAGCGGCCAUGUGGUGAGGGUACUCAAGCGGCCUAUGGGGAACCCCACAUGGUGAAGACUGAGGCCUCCUGACAACAGCCACAUGAGGGAGCCAUCUUGGAAGCAGAUUAUGCAGCCCCAAUUGAGCCUUCAGAUGACUGCAGCCCUAGCCCACACCUUGGCUGAAACCUCAUGAGAGAUCUUAGGUCAGAACAACUGAGCCUAGCUACUCCCAGAUUCCUGACCCACAGAAUCUGUGAGAUAAUAGCGUGCGUGAUUUUAAGCUGCAUAAAUUUGAGCUAAUUUAUUAUGAAGUAAUAGAUAACCUUCUCCUUGUCCUUUAAGAUGUCAUUUGAAAGUUUCCAGGGCUAGGUGUGGUGGCUCAUGCCUGUAAUCACAGCACUGUGGGAGGCCGAGAACGGUGGAUCACUUGAGGCCAGGAGUUUGAGACUAGUCUGGCUAAUAUGGCAAAACCCUGUCUGUACCAAAAAAAAAAAGAAAAAGAAAAAAAAAUGUUUCAAGGACUUCACUGAUGUCUUUCCUUUAUUCCUGGCUUAUGAUGAUGUUGGAAGCUUGAAAAAGAAGAUGAGAAGAUGUGUGGUUUUGGAGUACGGCAGCAAUGCCGUGGGCAUACACACCAAGCAUUUUCUACUGGUUAUGUCAUGUAAGCAUCUCAACCACCCUGUGGGAAGGUAUUAAUAGUCCCAUUUUAUAGAUGAGAAC
Molecule: long non-coding RNA, 864 nt
Filed under: Homo sapiens (human)
Lineage: Eukaryota; Metazoa; Chordata; Mammalia; Primates; Hominidae
Description: HSALNT0281691
Source: RNAcentral